UACAGAGGUCCCAAGCGUUGUUCGGAUUCACUGGGCGUAAAGGGUGCGUAGGUGGCGGGGUAAGUCGGAUGUGAAAUCUCCGAGCUCAACUCGGAAAUGGCAUUGGAAACUACCUUGCUCGAGGGUUGGAGGGGGGACUGGAAUGCUUGGUGUAGCAGUGAAAUGCGUAGAUAUCAAGCGGAACACCAGUGGCGAAGGCGGGUCCCUGGACAACACCUGACACUGAGGCACGAAAGCUAGGGGAGCAAACAGG
This 253-nucleotide ribosomal RNA is filed under the name uncultured bacterium. RNAcentral's name for it is "partial 16S ribosomal RNA". It matches the Rfam family "Bacterial small subunit ribosomal RNA", at positions 524 to 776 of the family's 1533-position model. The record is from RNAcentral.